Molecule: ribosomal RNA, 445 nt
Filed under: uncultured bacterium
Lineage: Bacteria
Description: partial 16S ribosomal RNA
Rfam family: Bacterial small subunit ribosomal RNA
Source: RNAcentral
GUAGGGAAUAUUGGUCAAUGGACGAAAGUCUGAACCAGCCAUUCCGCGUGCAGGAAGAAGAUUCUAUGGAUUGUAAACUGCUUUUAGCAGAGAAGAAACGCCUUCAUUGAUGAGGGUUUGACGGUAUCUGCGGAAUAAGCACCGGCUAACUCCGUGCCAGCAGCCGCGGUAAUACGGGGGGUGCAAGCGUUAUCCGGAAUCACCGGGUUUAAAGGGUGCGUAGGCGGGAAAUUAAGUCAGUGGUGAAAGUCUGGUGCAUAACGAUAGAAUUGCCGUUGAUACGGAGUUUCGUGAAUUGGGUUGAGGUGAGCGGAAUGUGACAUGUAGCGGUGAAGUGCAUAGAUAUGUCAUGGAACACCAAUUGCGAAGGCAGCUAGCUGGGCCUUGAUUGACGCUGAGGCACGAAAGCGUGGGUAGCGAACAGGAUUAGAUACCCCUGUAGUCC